UACGUAGGUGGCAAGCGUUGUCCGGAUUUACUGGGCGUAAAGAGCGUGUAGGCGGCUGGGUAGGUCCGCUGUGAAAACUCGAGGCUUAACCUCGAGACGUCGGUGGAAACCAUCCAGCUAGAGUCCGGAAGAGGAGAGUGGAAUUCCUGGUGUAGCGGUGAAAUGCGCAGAUAUCAGGAAGAACACCCGUGGCGAAGGCGGGUCUCUGGGCCGAUAUUGACGCUGAGGAGCGAAAGCGUGGGGAGCGAACAGG
Molecule: ribosomal RNA, 253 nt
Filed under: uncultured bacterium
Lineage: Bacteria
Description: partial 16S ribosomal RNA
Rfam family: Bacterial small subunit ribosomal RNA
Source: RNAcentral